Molecule: transfer RNA, 72 nt
Filed under: Bulbochaete rectangularis var. hiloensis
Lineage: Eukaryota; Viridiplantae; Chlorophyta; Chlorophyceae; Oedogoniales; Oedogoniaceae
Description: tRNA-Asn
Rfam family: tRNA
About the family: Transfer RNA (tRNA) molecules are approximately 80 nucleotides in length. Their secondary structure includes four short double-helical elements and three loops (D, anti-codon, and T loops).
Source: RNAcentral
UCUCCAAUAGCUCAGUGGCAGAGCAAAUGGCUGUUAACCAUAAGGUCGUAGGUUCAAGUCCUACUUGGGGAG